Molecule: long non-coding RNA, 363 nt
Filed under: Homo sapiens (human)
Lineage: Eukaryota; Metazoa; Chordata; Mammalia; Primates; Hominidae
Description: HSALNT0344485
Source: RNAcentral
AGUACGAUGUAAAAGAGAAGCCUUUUCCUCCUACACCCAAACAGAGAAAAAAGGAGAUGUAGAACCCGUAAGGAUGCCUAGUAGCAGUUACAGACAAGGUCCAUCAAACACCCAAAGGGUCUCUGAAACGACCGAGGCCAUCGUCCUGACAGCGUGCACGCUCCCUGCUGUAACUACCCACCAAUGUGAAAUCCACAGUGAGCACAGCCAACUGCUCUGGGUGCCUGUGGAGCUUUAGAAUCUCGAACUGUCACCAGGCUGGAGUGCAGUGGUGUGAUCUUGGCUCACUGCAACCUCCACCUCCCAGGUUCAAGCAAUUCUCCGCCUCAGUCUCCCAAGUUGCUGGGAUUACAGCCGCCUGCC